CCCUGAUGCACAAGGUACUUUAAUAAACUAUUUUUAUUUUAAUUUUUUCAAAAUUUUCUUUUUUCCUUUUCAGUAAAAUAAUUUUUUAUUAUUUUUAUAUAAUAUACAAAUUUAAUAAAACUUUUUUUAAAUAAAUCUUUUUAGAAAAUAAAUAUAAAAAA
This 161-nucleotide ribosomal RNA is filed under the name Ixodes sigelos. RNAcentral's name for it is "partial 16S ribosomal RNA". The record is from RNAcentral. Lineage: Eukaryota; Metazoa; Arthropoda; Arachnida; Ixodida; Ixodidae.